Molecule: ribosomal RNA, 245 nt
Filed under: Streptococcus dysgalactiae subsp. equisimilis
Lineage: Bacteria; Bacillati; Bacillota; Bacilli; Lactobacillales; Streptococcaceae
Description: partial 23S ribosomal RNA
Rfam family: Bacterial large subunit ribosomal RNA (bases 1-216)
Source: RNAcentral
UUUUGGAUCCUUAUGGAAUAAGGUAAAAGUUACCUCGGGGAUAACUAGGUAAAAGAUGAAGAGAGAUCUAAUCGAUUUGUCUAAUUGCCAUCUCGAUGUUGACUUAGGAAAUAUGAGAAGGUGUAGAAGUUUUCUUAUAUGGUCUGUUCGACCUUAGUUUCCUUCAUGAGUUGAGUUAAGACCGGCGUGAGCCAGGUCGGUUCUUAUCUAUAAUGGAUGUGAAUUAGUACGAAAGGAUUAUUUGC